CUUUUGACAUGGUAUCUGAAUGACCUUGAUUAUAGGUGAAGCUGCUCAGCUACCUCCGGGCAUCCGCCCAAUGAAAAAUGCAAGAAGACCCAUUACUCAGUCAUAGAUGAAGCUCGGCUAUUUAUGCGGAUGGACGUACCUCGGACUUCCUUUCAAUUGAUUGAUUCGGGAAGGGCACAAUCCCCUUUUGUCGAGGGAUAUGCGUUAAGAGCAUAUAGCUUGGUCGGCAUUUCCUUCUCAAUAAAGCUUGUUGUCCUGCCUGGCACAGAGCCUAUAUGGAGCUCCGUAUUCCUCUAGGCAUUCCUUCAGGCGCAAGUCUAUCGAUGUUCACCUACGCAAUUAGAUGGGAUCCCUUGCCAUCAGCUACCAAGCAAUAAUAUCUAUGCGAUCCAUCCGUCCGUCUGCCCCUAGGCACGGUAGUUCUAUGCCACAUACAGGAGUCACCUAGUGAGCCUAGUCGAAUCAGAAUCAU
RNAcentral lists this long non-coding RNA (472 nucleotides) under Panax ginseng (ginseng). RNAcentral's name for it is "long non-coding RNA (PGIN_LNC009640)". The record is from RNAcentral. Lineage: Eukaryota; Viridiplantae; Streptophyta; Magnoliopsida; Apiales; Araliaceae.